GUGCUGUGUUAGUAUUUUAUUAAAAUAAUCAUAAUAAUAAAUUCACUACAUCACUGAUUGUUUUGUUCUUGUUUUUGUUAUUUGAGUCUUUCUAUCUACUUGACAUGGGCCAAUGAUCCAAUAAGAUGGCAAACAUGGUAAGAUCUUAAUAACAACAUCAGACACUUAUAUAAACGUGUGGUAAAGUUCAGCAAAUGUUUGUGUUAUUUAGAAAUUCACUUAAUCUCUUAGUUUCUUUUAGUUUGAUUUUGUAAUGUGACAAUCUCUGAAAUAAUAACUCAUAAACGUAAAACACAUUUUAUUCUACACAUCUAUAUUUCUGAAUAUUUUCUUUGUUUCUGUCUUUGUGUGAGUCUUUCCAACUACAGUACAUGACAUGCUGAGCUGCCACAAUGGCAAACAUGGUAAGACUUAUUAUGUACUUAUCUUAGAUCAGAAAUUUAUUUCAACUUCUGUCAAAUUUCUGAACAUCUUCUAUUUCUUUUUUUGCAUGAGUCUUUCCUUCUACAUGAUGUGGUUUGAGCUGACACAAUGGCAAACAUAGUAAGAUCUUAGCAAUAUCUAAACCCUACGUAAAUUAACUCGUAGAUAAUUUAUGCAUGAAUGUUUUAAUCUAUAAAAAGCUGAAAUAUUUCUGUGUUUCUCCCUUUGCAUGAGUCUUUUCAACUACAGCUCUUGACAUGGUGUACAAAUACAAUAGUAAACACGGUAAGAUCACAUCAACAUCAGAAACCUAUAUAAAAUUGUGGUGAAAUGCUGCAUGAAUACUUUAUUUAUACCAAUCACUAUAUUUCUGAACAUUUUCUUCUUUGUUUAUUUCUCUGCACGAGUCUUUCCAACUACAAGACAAGGCGGCACAAAGGAAACAUGAUUUUCAACUCACAGUACACUACAUGGCAUGGUUUGAGCCACUACAAUGAAACAGGGUAAACAUGGUAAGAUAUUAAAUGACAACAUCAGUAACCUAUAUAAACAUGUGGUAAAUCUAUGAAUGGAAAGCACUAACUUCCGGAAUAAUUUCUUUGUUUUUAUCUUUGUCUGAGUCUUUUCUAUCUAAAUGACAUGCUUUGAGCCACCAGUUUCAAACAUGGUAAGAACGAUUAUGUAACAACAUUAGAAACAUACAUAGUCUUGUUGUAAAAUGCUGCAUGUAUAUUGUCAUCUAAAACUUAUUUAUCUGAAUGGUUUCUUUGUUUCUGUCUUUGCAUGAGUCUUUCCAACUACAUGACGUGGAGCCACAAUGGAAAAUGUGGUUAGAAAGAUCACAUCAACAUCAGCAAGCAAUGGGAACCUUAAGCUCUGUGUCAAUAUUUUAUUCUGAAUAAAGCAUUAUAUUUCUGUA
This is a non-coding RNA of Danio rerio (zebrafish), 1342 nucleotides long. Lineage: Eukaryota; Metazoa; Chordata; Actinopteri; Cypriniformes; Danionidae. The record is from RefSeq and is a predicted model, not a curated record.